RNAcentral lists this ribosomal RNA (425 nucleotides) under uncultured bacterium. Its description in RNAcentral is "partial 16S ribosomal RNA". It matches the Rfam family "Bacterial small subunit ribosomal RNA", at positions 354 to 796 of the family's 1533-position model. The record is from RNAcentral.
GUGGGGAAUCUUGCGCAAUGGGCGAAAGCCUGACGCAGCCAUGCCGCGUGAAUGAUGAAGGUCUUAGGAUUGUAAAAUUCUUUCACCGGGGACGAUAAUGACGGUACCCGGAGAAGAAGCCCCGGCUAACUUCGUGCCAGCAGCCGCGGUAAUACGAAGGGGGCUAGCGUUGCUCGGAAUUACUGGGCGUAAAGGGAGCGUAGGCAGAUAGUUCAGUCAGAGGUGAAAGCCCAGGGCUCAACCUUGGAAUUGCCUUUGAUACUGGCUGUCUUGAGUAUGGGAGAGGUUAGCGGAACUCCGAGUGUAGAGGUGAAAUUCGUAGAUAUUCGGAAGAACACCAGUGGCGAAGGCGGCUAACUGGCCCAUUACUGACGCUGAGGCUCGAAAGCGUGGGGAGCAAACAGGAUUAGAAACCCUUGUAGUCC